This 4341-nucleotide long non-coding RNA is filed under the name Papio anubis (olive baboon). RNAcentral's name for it is "lncRNA (ENSPANG00000039794.1)". The record is from RNAcentral. Lineage: Eukaryota; Metazoa; Chordata; Mammalia; Primates; Cercopithecidae.
GUAGUUAGAUGCUGACAUAUCUUCUUUUAGAUGCUGACAUACCUUCUUUUGGUUUACACUGUCAGCUUCAAACCCUUGACAUGGACGAUUAUAUCCAGGCUAGAGCAGAGCGCAUCUUGGCCCAGCUUUUCUUCAGGAAGCAAAGUGAGUUUAACAAGAGCCCCCAGUUUAAGGAAGACCAGGAAAGAGGCCGUCCCCACUUGCUGAAGGAAUGCAACAUGUCAUCCACAUGCUGAGGAUUCCAGAGAUUGCAGAGCAACUUUGACUUCUUCAGGGCUCCAGAGCAGCAGCAUGGUGGACAGUGUGCUUAUCGGCAGCAUGGGCUGCCAGGCCUGGAAAAUGGGAUAGUACCUGGCAGAAGAAGCCCUGGUUCCAGACAUAAUCAUGAUACCUAGUGGCAGCAGCAGGAGCUGGACAAUGCAGACCUCCCUGGAAGAAAUGGCACGGGUGCUUGUCAUGAAGCAGCUCCCAGUGGGCAUGGCAGCACUUGAUGGCACCAGAGAUGGUGGCUGGGGGACUUCAUGUGAUACCUAACUGGGCUUGCCUUUGUGAGUCCAUUUGAGGCAGCCCUUGGAUAUUCUAAAAAGUAUACAAGGGGGCUUUGAGGGGCUUAGGGACCUGUGUGGCAGGCAACGUUAAGAGCCAGAAAAAUAUGGAGAAUGAGUAUUCCUAUAAUCUUCUGUACCCAUGAGUGAAGGUGUGCCCGAAGCAACAUGGGUUACCAAGUGAGGGGAUUAUUCCCAAACUGGCCAUCGGAGCAGUAGAAGAACAAGACCAUUUGCUACUGCCUCUGGGGUUAUCUCUUCAUUUCAAAGUAUUUUAGUAGGACCAACACACAUACACACACACGCUCAUACACACACAGAGAAGUAAUCUGGGACACGGGGUUAAAGAAUAUUGAACAGGUUUUCUUUCUUACACAGACCCUGUCAUACAGGCAUACAGGGUCUCUGGUAUCCUGAUUCAUUCAAGUCGUGGACAUUUGGCUAGGGAUUGAGAACCCUGUAAGACACAAAAAUUACACCGUGGCUGGUUCAGGUUCUAGGGCUAUAAAAAUGACAGUAAGACAGGGCUUAAGUAACUUUCAUUUUGGUUUUCUAGUGCAUUGCUUUCCUCCCUUUCUCCUUCCUUCCUUUCCUACAUUUCUUUCUUCCUUCCUUCCUGGCUUGCAUCACCUCCAAAUAAUUUGAAAACCUAUAUAUUUCCUCUUACAUUUAUGUUUUACAUAGAAAUAUUAAAAAUUGUAAACUUAAAUAGUUGCAAAUGACAGUUAUCAGAUUAUUGCAUAUUACAUCUGUGCUUCAAAUACAUUUUUUGAAGCUACAGAAGGAAGCUACAAGGCAGGCAGGCAGGCGGGAAGGAAGCAAGGAAGACAAUGCAUUAGAAAACCAAAGUGAAAGUUACCCAAGUUAUCUCUUCAUAGAAUGUGUCCACCACAUAAUUAAUUGAGAAACCAUUCUCAUCAUCAACCCAAACAGCCAGAUUAAGCUUUCUUUCUGACAAAAAGGGGCUUCCUUGAUCUUUUAAAAUUCCAUUCAAAUGCAUUCCUGGGAUAAUCAUCCCACUUCUCAACUCUCAUCUUAAAAUACAGGGAAGAAGAGAGAGUAUAAGGAACGGGAAUACAAACAGGCUGGGAGACUCACCUGAGUUUGUCGUUUGGAUGCAGUGAGACUGUGCCUCCUCCAUAUUUCCUAUUUCACUGGCUUCAUUUGCCCUCGCAGAGCUCUUCCUCAGGGGUCAUGCUUUUUCAAAUUGCCCGUGGUUUUAGUGACCUGGAGGUCUUCCUGGCCUGAGGUGAUGCUCCACAGUAAAACUGGAGAAGGUCAUGCAGUUCUUCUGUGAGGAGGGAGAGGAGGAUUGUAACAGGGGCGGUGAUGGAGGGGACCCUGCCUCGCCAUCAGAGGCUGUGCCCGGACAAUCACUUUUAAGAAAAGACACCGAUGUCGAGGACCCGGACCUUGAUUCCUUCCACAGUGUCCAGCCCAUGUAUUCCCCUCCCAGCCUUUGUAUGCUCACUGUAUCUGGCUGGUAGAGAGAAUAAGUUGAUGAGCUGCAUUGAGGAUCAGGUAGAAUCCUCUAUGUAAAUUAACCCAUUGAAUCCUCACAAAGAUCUUAUAAUUGUCCUAUUAUUAUCCUCAACAUCCUAAUUUCUUAGAGAGAAAACUGAGGCAUAGAGAGAUUAAAUACCAACAGCCAAGCCCAUACUUGAACUUAGGCAGCCUGACUCCAGGGCCUUGCACUUAACCAGUGUCCUACGCUGCCACCAAAACACAGAGUCAUCUUUUAUUUCUUAACUUUUUCUUUGCUAACAACAAAAUUUAUACACUGUCCAGUAUAGAAAACUUGGAGUUCUCAAGGACAAUUUUGUUGGGAGAAACAUUAUUUUAUUUCACUGAAAAUGAGUAUAUCUGCGACAAUGUUUUUGAAGCGAUUAGUGAAAGCAAUAUUCCAGGAAAACUAGUAAUUUAUUUUUUGCUAAUAAUUCUCAAGAGUGAUAAUAUUAGGAUCUUGAGUCCUAAACUCAUGCGUAAGUAACUAAUUAGGAGAAAAAGAGAAAAAGGAAAAAGGAAGCAAAGGAGACAAGAGGAUGAGGCCUUGAAAACACAGAGUAGAAAAACAACAUAUGUCGAAUUUAUUUUAACACAACUCACUUAAAUUCAGUGCAUAUUGUGAGCAGUGUUUACCAAGAUAUUUGAAUUUUCAGAGAAUUUUAUUUCUAUUAGUAUAUUAUUUCAAAAAAUAUUGUCAGGUAUUUGUACAUUUAGAUAUCAUCUUUAGGGCAAAAUAGCUACCAAUGGACUUUAAAACAAAUCAUUUAUAUAGCCAGUAUGUUGAAAAAAAAAUAUUAGGUUUUUGGGCCAAAAAAUUAUAUUUAUGCUUAAUUCUUAUUUAUUAAAAAAGUCACAUGUAAGUAUAAAUCAGUUGAAAAAAUACAGAGAGCUAUAGUAAAGUGAUUACAUGAGCAACAAUAACAACAAUUUACCGUUGUAAUGGUUGGGUGUUUUAUCUCUCCAGUAAAAUCUACACACCUUCAAACAUUUAGGGCACCUUUUGAGGAGGGAUGAAGAAGUUAGUGAACACCUAAUGAUAAUUAUAUUAAAUUGCCAACACAAUUUUCAGUGUGACACUGAAAAAAAAUUCUAAUACUAGGUGGCAAGUUUAGAUGGAGAAAAGGGAGCUUGCUUAAGGAGAACUAGACAGACAUUUCGAAAAUUUGAGAAGUUUCACAGUAAAAAGUCUUAGUGUAUAACUGCUAUUUAUAUCUUCCCUUCCUGCCUUCCUUCUCUCCUUCCUUCAGUCCUUCCUGCCUGCCUUCCUUCUCUCCUUCCUUCCUUUCCUUUCUCCUUCUCUCCCCCUUCCUGCCUCCCUUUAUUUCUUUCUUUCAUUUUUAAACUUUAUUGGGAUAUAAUUGACAUAUAAAUAUUUUAUAUAUAUAUUUAAAGUAUAUGACUUGGUGUUUUGAUAUACAUGUACAUGGUGGGAGAAGGAAAUGGGGAGAUGUUGGUCAAAGGGUGCAAAUGUUCAGUUAUUCAAGAUGAAUAAGUUCUGGAGAUCUUGAACAUGGUGACAUGUUAAGAUCUCCUGAACUUAAUAAAAAUUGACAACUAUCCAGCAUGGUGACAGUAGUUAAAAAUACCAUAUUGUUUGCUUGAAAUUUACUAAGAUGAUAGAUCUUAAGUAAAAUCUUCUUACCACAUACACACAUGCUAAAGUGGUAACUACAUAGAGGUAAUAGACAUAUUGAGUAGCCGGAAUAGAAUGAUUCCUUCUUUCUUUCUUUAGCACAUAUUCAUUGAGUGACUACUCCAGGUAUUGCUAUAGGCAAUAAGGUUCAAUAGCGAUCAAGGCAGAUUACGUUCCUGCCCUCCCGAGGCUUACAUUCUAAUAUAAUACAUCUCUAAUACUGUUUCCAUUUCCUUCAUUUUUGCUGCCAUCCCUCAUUAAUAAACCUGGGCUAUUGUAAAUAGACUUCUGACUGGUUCCCUGGACUUCAACUUUCUCUCUCUACUCUGUUUAGCAUGCUGCCAGCAAUUUAAUUUUUUCAAUAUAUUGCUUAGCUAAUUUCUUUAUAUAGUGAAAGCCAUAAUACUAUCAACCUCAUAUGAUUAUCAUGACACUUAAAUGAAACCUACAGGUAGACAGCACAGUAGGUCCUCAUUGAAUAUUGGCCCAUGUUGUUAUUCCUAAGUCUGCAUUGGCUUCUUCCUCUCCACUAGGGAGGAAGCCCCUCAUCCAUCACUGGAGCUCUCCAAAGUUUUGGUUAGGGUGUGGCAUAUGACAUGUUAGUGCAGUUCCGUUUGGUUUAGAGUUUAUAACCUAUUUGGGUUCACAUAUAAAAUA